GCGUCACGCAGCGCACGUCGCCGCGCGCCUGCGCUCUUUUCCACGUGCGAAAGCCCCGGACUCGUGGAGUUGUGAACGCCGCGGACUCCGGAGCCGCACAAACCAGGGCUCGCCAUGAAGCCAGGAUUCAGUCCCCGUGGGGGUGGCUUUGGCGGCCGAGGGGGCUUUGGUGACCGUGGUGGUCGUGGAGGCCGAGGGGGCUUUGGCGGGGGCCGAGGUCGAGGCGGAGGCUUUAGAGGUCGUGGACGAGGAGGAGGUGGAGGCGGCGGCGGCGGUGGAGGAGGAGGAAGAGGUGGCCACCCCCCAAGGUGAAGAACUGAAGUUCAGCGCUGUCAGGAUUGCGAGAGAUGUGUGUUGAUACUGUUGCACGUGUGUUUUUCUAUUAAAAGACUCAUCCGUCUCCC
RNAcentral lists this long non-coding RNA (404 nucleotides) under Homo sapiens (human). RNAcentral's name for it is "non-protein coding lnc-FBL-1:1". Lineage: Eukaryota; Metazoa; Chordata; Mammalia; Primates; Hominidae. The record is from RNAcentral.